GGGUAUGUCUUGGUAGCUGGGACACUCCUGACUCCAGUGCCUCCUCCCUCCCACCUGCACUGUCCACCCCAGGCUGUGCCCUCUGUGGAUGGCGAUACUGACACCUACAGGACAAAGCCAUCUGCUCCUAAGGGAUGAGAUGGCUUUGAGCUCAAGUCUAAACUGCUUCUGGAGCUGAUACUCACAUAUCCACCCGUUCAUCAUCAUCAUCAUCAUCAUCAUCAUCAUCAUCAUCAUCAUCCUUCUCCUCCUCCUCCUUAUCAUCAUCAUCAUCAUCUCAAUCACCACCACCACCAUCACCAUCACCAUCAUUACCAUUAUUAUGAUAAUGUAAUAAUUAUUAUCUUUGAAACCUAGGCUAACCUUAAAUCCACUAUGCAG
This is a long non-coding RNA of Mastomys coucha (southern multimammate mouse), 381 nucleotides long. RefSeq lists it as uncharacterized. Lineage: Eukaryota; Metazoa; Chordata; Mammalia; Rodentia; Muridae. The transcript has 2 exons. The record is from RefSeq and is a predicted model, not a curated record.